UACGAGAGGCGCAAACGUUAUUCGGAAUUACUGGGCUUAAAGAGUUCGUAGGCGGCGCAGUAAGUAGGGUGUGAAAGCCCUCGGCUUAACCGAGGAAUUGCGCUCUAAACUACUGUGCUUGAGGGACCUAGAGGUGAGCGGAACUGAUGGUGGAGCGGUGAAAUGCGUUGAUAUCAUCAGGAACACCGGAGGCGAAGGCGGCUCACUGGGGGUCUUCUGACGCUGAGGAACGAAAGCCAGGGGAGCGAACAGG
RNAcentral lists this ribosomal RNA (253 nucleotides) under uncultured bacterium. Its description in RNAcentral is "partial 16S ribosomal RNA". It matches the Rfam family "Bacterial small subunit ribosomal RNA", at positions 524 to 776 of the family's 1533-position model. The record is from RNAcentral.